GGUAAAUGUUUCACGGUCUGGUGUCUGAUUUAACUAUUGAUUGACUUGUUAUUGUUGCUUUAUGAAUCACAGAGCAGAUGUCACUUUCAUCUGUAAGACUGAUAUUGUGUGAUUUGUAUUUUCCAGUGAGCACUAUUUCGCUUCAGUGACAUGUGGCAGCUUUGAUUUAAAUCAGACUUCAAAAUAUGUACUUGCCAAUAAAGGAAUAGAACUGAAUAUUGUCUUCUCCCUAAGGCUGAUACGUUAAUAUUUUAUUUGUGAAUAUUAAACUUUUUGCAGAUUGGAAUGCCAGGAGUGUUUUACGUUAUAAAAAUAUUUUUUUGUUCCCCCAAAUUUCCAACAUAAGAAAGUGAAAAAAAUAUAUUUAAGUACGCUUAAUUAUUCCGAAUCUUAGGUGCAUAACAGAACGAUAAGGUUAUUGUACAUAUCAUUUUAUUUUCCAUUAUUCCCAGUGAAGUUUUAAAAAACGUUGACUAUGGUCUUAUCUUACAGUGCAACUGAAGUCGUUUUCUUCCCAUUAAAUUCUUUUGCUAGUGUCCUGUCUCAGGUUCAUGCCUUGCUGACUGAUGUGACUGCAUCUCAGGUAGAAUGCAAAAUUUAGGCCCCACCUAUCAAUGACAUGAAAGCAAGUACAAUACAUCAUUAAAUACAAUUAAGUACAAAACAGAAGUUUAGGUCCCAAAGCAAAAAGGGUGAGAUAAUUUUGCUUCUAUGUUGUACAUGUUUUAUGUAUUUUUCUUAAUAUUUGGUGCACUGUAAAAGAUGUGUUAAGUAUUGCUUUGUGUUAACAUAGGUACUAAAGAGUACAAUGUUUAUUGGAAUGAAGCAGGAUCAGAAACUUGUUGUGGCUGUACUUCUGUCAAUUUCAACGCACCACCACCUUUUGAUUCCCAAAAAGUUUUCUUUCACCAUUCUUUUCAGAUUGAUUAUUUUUGUCUCUCUGCUGUACUUGGGAAAUGUUAAUGUGUAUUAAUGGAGAAGAGGAGUUCCACAUUCCCAUACACAUUUUGUAUUGGUUCAUAAAUAGACAUUUUUACAAAACAAUGAAGAGUUCUUGUCUUAAUAAAAGAGAAAAGAUAUAAAUGUCCAAAAUAAUCAGUGUUGGCAUUGGUUUUUUUUAAUAGGCUUUAGGUGAAUUAUUAAAUGUAAAAUGCUAUACGUAUAAU
Astatotilapia calliptera (eastern happy) is the source of this 1166-nucleotide long non-coding RNA. The record is from Ensembl. NCBI's taxonomy places the organism in Eukaryota, Metazoa, Chordata, Actinopteri, Cichliformes, Cichlidae.